AGGAGGGAACACUCACUGGGUCACUACGCUAUUUGGGUAUACAGUGGCUACUGCUUUUCUACCAUUCCUUGGAAGAACCACGUUGAUGAUAGCCAGCAGACCUUGGGAGACUUCAGACAACAAAAAUGUUGGAAGAGUAAGGAAAACAGGAAGACACAGCCAUUGCUAAAAUUUUAAAAACUUCUUGUCAAGUGACUAUAGUACAGACUGAGAAGAUGGAAAGGGGCAAUUCUGGUUUUCUUUAAAGGAUGAAGGCCAUGCCCCUGUCACUGAGAAUCUCUGAGCAGGAGACUGGUUUCCCAUCAAAGAUUCUCUCUUCCCAG
RNAcentral lists this long non-coding RNA (323 nucleotides) under Mus spicilegus (steppe mouse). RNAcentral's name for it is "lncRNA (ENSMSIG00000007158.1)". Lineage: Eukaryota; Metazoa; Chordata; Mammalia; Rodentia; Muridae. The record is from RNAcentral.